GAUUGAACCAACAAAAAUAUCUAUAUAAAGUCGUAACAUGGUCGAGAGUUUCUACCCAUUACCCUAAAUAAUGGACUAUAGGUGAUUGAAAGUUAAAA
Molecule: non-coding RNA, 98 nt
Filed under: Lactobacillus helveticus
Lineage: Bacteria; Bacillati; Bacillota; Bacilli; Lactobacillales; Lactobacillaceae
Description: Guanine sequence
Rfam family: Purine riboswitch aptamer
About the family: Riboswitches are metabolite binding domains within certain messenger RNAs that serve as precision sensors for their corresponding targets. Allosteric rearrangement of mRNA structure is mediated by ligand binding, and this results in modulation of gene expression. A class of riboswitches that selectively recognises guanine and becomes saturated at concentrations as low as 5 nM.
Source: RNAcentral